CAGAGGGGGCUAGCGUUGUUCGGAAUUACUGGGCGUAAAGGGCGCGUAGGUGGCCUGUUAAGUCGAACGUGAAAUCCCCGGGCUCAACCCGGGAACUGCGUCCGAGACUGGCAGGCUCGAAUCCGGGAGAGGGAUGUGGAAUUCCAGGUGUAGCGGUGAAAUGCGUAGAUAUCUGGAGGAACACCGGUGGCGAAGGCGGCAUCCUGGACCGGUAUUGACGCUGAGGCGCGAAAGCCAGGGGAGCAAACGGGAUUAGAUACCCCGGUAGUCCUGGCCCUAAACGAUGAAUGCUUGGUGUGGCGGGUAUCGAUCCCUGCCGUGCCGAAGCUAACGCAUUAAGCAUUCCGCCUGGGGAUACGGUCGCAAGGCUG
This 371-nucleotide ribosomal RNA is filed under the name uncultured organism. Its description in RNAcentral is "bacterial SSU rRNA". It matches the Rfam family "Bacterial small subunit ribosomal RNA", at positions 526 to 896 of the family's 1533-position model. The record is from RNAcentral.